CGAGCGAGCUUGCCUAGAUGAUUUUAGUGCUUGCACUAAAUGAAACUAGAUACAAGCGAGCGGCGGACGGGUGAGUAACACGUGGGUAACCUGCCCAAGAGACUGGGAUAACACCUGGAAACAGAUGCUAAUACCGGAUAACAACACUAGACGCAUGUCUAGAGUUUGAAAGAUGGUUCUGCUAUCACUCUUGGAUGGACCUGCGGUGCAUUAGCUAGUUGGUAAGGUAACGGCUUACCAAGGCAAUGAUGCAUAGCCGAGUUGAGAGACUGAUCGGCCACAUUGGGACUGAGACACGGCCCAAACUCCUACGGGAGGCAGCAGUAGGGAAUCUUCCACAAUGGACGAAAGUCUGAUGGAGCAACGCCGCGUGAGUGAAGAAGGGUUUCGGCUCGUAAAGCUCUGUUGGUAGUGAAGAAAGAUAGAGGUAGUAACUGGCCUUUAUUUGACGGUAAUUACUUAGAAAGUCACGGCUAACUACGUGCCAGCAGCCGCGGUAAUACGUAGGUGGCAAGCGUUGUCCGGAUUUAUUGGGCGUAAAGCGAGUGCAGGCGGUUCAAUAAGUCUGAUGUGAAAGCCUUCGGCUCAACCGGAGAAUUGCAUCAGAAACUGUUGAACUUGAGUGCAGAAGAGGAGAGUGGAACUCCAUGUGUAGCGGUGGAAUGCGUAGAUAUAUGGAAGAACACCAGUGGCGAAGGCGGCUCUCUGGUCUGCAACUGACGCUGAGGCUCGAAAGCAUGGGUAGCGAACAGGAUUAGAUACCCUGGUAGUCCAUGCCGUAAACGAUGAGUGCUAAGUGUUGGGAGGUUUCCGCCUCUCAGUGCUGCAGCUAACGCAUUAAGCACUCCGCCUGGGGAGUACGACCGCAAGGUUGAAACUCAAAGGAAUUGACGGGGGCCCGCACAAGCGGUGGAGCAUGUGGUUUAAUUCGAAGCAACGCGAAGAACCUUACCAGGUCUUGACAUCCAGUGCAA
RNAcentral lists this ribosomal RNA (974 nucleotides) under Lactobacillus johnsonii. RNAcentral describes it as "bacterial SSU rRNA". It matches the Rfam family "Bacterial small subunit ribosomal RNA", at positions 50 to 996 of the family's 1533-position model. The record is from RNAcentral. Lineage: Bacteria; Bacillati; Bacillota; Bacilli; Lactobacillales; Lactobacillaceae.